Molecule: ribosomal RNA, 293 nt
Filed under: uncultured bacterium
Lineage: Bacteria
Description: partial 16S ribosomal RNA
Rfam family: Bacterial small subunit ribosomal RNA
Source: RNAcentral
GUGUCAGCAGCCGCGGUAAUACGGGGGGAACAAGCGUUGUUCGGAAUUACUGGGUUUAAAGCGCGCGCAGGCGGAAAGGCAAGUCUGGUCGUGAAAUCCUCCGGCUCAACCGGAGAAUGGCGCUGGAAACUGCCUUUCUAGAGUGCGGAAGAGGAAAGUAGAAUUCACGGUGUAGCGGUGAAAUGCGUAGAUAUCGUGAGGAAUACCGGUGGCGAAGGCGGCUUUCUGGUCCGCAACUGACGCUCAGGCGCGAAGGCUAGGGGAGCAAACAGGAUUAGAAACCCGCGUAGUCC